GGCAAUGGAGGAAACUCUGACCGAGCAACGCCGCGUGAAUGACGAAGUACUUCGGUAUGUAAAAUUCUUUUAUUAAGGAAGAAAAGCAAAUGGCGAACCAUUUGUUUGCCGGUACCUGAUGAAUAAGCCCCGGCUAAUUAUGUGCCAGCAGCCGCGGUAAGACAUAAGGGGCAAGUGUUAUCCGGAAUUAUUGGGCGUAAAGGGUGCGUAGGCGGUCUAGUAAGUCAGUGGUGUAAUGGCAACGCUUAACGUUGUCCGGCUAUUGAAACUGCUAAACUUGAGUUAGAUAGAGGCGAGUGGAAUUCCAUGUGUAGUGGUAAAAUGCGUAAAUAUAUGGAGGAACACCAGAGGCGUAGGCGGCUCGCUGGGUCUUAACUGACGCUGAGGCACGAAAGCGUGGGGAGCAAACAGGAUUAGAUACCCUGGUAGUCCACGCCGUAAACGAUGAGUACUAAGUGUCGGGUUAAACCGGUACUGAAGUUAACACAUUAAGUACUCCGCCUGAGUAGUACGUACGCAAGUAUGAAACUUAAAGGAAUUGACGGGACUCCGCACAAGCGGUGGAUCAUGUUGUUUAAUUCGAAGAUACCCGAAAAACCUUACCAGGUCUUGACAUGUUUUUGCAAAAUGAUAGUAAUAUCGUGGAGGUUACCAGAAACACAGGUGGUAGCAUGGUUGUCGUCAGCUCGUGUCGUGAGAUGUUAAGGUUAAGUCCUACAACGAGCGAAACCCUUAUCGUUAGUUGCCAGCACGUAAUGGGUGGGGACUUUAACGAAGACUGCCAAUGAUAAAUUGGAGGAAGGGUGAUGAUCACGGUCAAAUCAGCAUGCCCCUUAUGACCUGGGCUACAAACGUGAUACAAUGGCUGUUACAAAGGGUAGCUGAAACGCAAGGUGCUUGGCCAAUCCCCAAAAACAGUCCCAGUCCGGAUUGAAGUCUGCAACUCGACUUCAUGAAGUUGGAAUCGCUAGUAAUCGCGAAUCAGCAUGUCGCGGUGAAUACGUUCUCGGGGUUUGUACACACCGCCCGUCAAACCACGAAAGUUGGCAAUACCCCAAAACGGUAGCCUAACUCGUUUAUUCGAGAGGGCGCCGUCUAAGGUAGGGUCGAUGAUUGGGGUU
This 1121-nucleotide ribosomal RNA is filed under the name Sesame phyllody phytoplasma. RNAcentral's name for it is "bacterial SSU rRNA". It matches the Rfam family "Bacterial small subunit ribosomal RNA", at positions 367 to 1482 of the family's 1533-position model. The record is from RNAcentral. Lineage: Bacteria; Bacillati; Mycoplasmatota; Mollicutes; Acholeplasmatales; Acholeplasmataceae.